CCCAUCUAGCCAGUACAGUACCUCCCAUCUAGCCAGUACAGUACCUCCCAUCUAGCCAGUACAGUACCUCCCAUCUAGCCAGUACAGUACAGUACCUACCAUCUAGCCAGUACAGUACCUACCAUCUAGCCAGUACAGUACCUCCCAUCUAGCCAGUACAGUACCUCCCAUCUAGCCAGUACAGUACCUCCCAUCUAGCCAGUACAGUACCUACCAUCUAGCCAGUACAUACCUCCCCCAUCUAGCCAGUACAGUACAGUACCUCCCAUCUAGCCAGUACAGUACAGUACCUCCACCUAGCCAGUACAGUACCUCCCAUCCAGCCAGUACAGUACCUCCCAUCUAAUCAGUACAGUACCUCCCAUCUAGCCAGUACAGUACCUCCCAUCUAGCCAGUACAGUACCUCCCAUCCAGCCAGUACAGUACCUCCCAUCUAAUCAGUACAGUACCUCCCAUCUAGCCAGUACAGUACCUCCCAUCUAGCCAGUACAGUACCUCCCAUCUAGCCAGUACAGUACCUCCCAUCUAGCCAGGACAGUACAGUACUCCCAUCUAGCCAGGACAGUACAGUACCUCCCAUCUAGCCAGUACAGUACCUCCCAUCUAGCCAGUACAGUACCUCCCAUCUAGCCAGUACAGUACCUCCCAUCUAGCCAGUAC
Molecule: long non-coding RNA, 661 nt
Organism: Oncorhynchus tshawytscha (Chinook salmon)
Lineage: Eukaryota; Metazoa; Chordata; Actinopteri; Salmoniformes; Salmonidae
Source: Ensembl